RNAcentral lists this ribosomal RNA (484 nucleotides) under uncultured bacterium. RNAcentral's name for it is "SSU rRNA". It matches the Rfam family "Bacterial small subunit ribosomal RNA", at positions 26 to 523 of the family's 1533-position model. The record is from RNAcentral.
AGGACGAACGCUGGCGGCGUGCUUAACACAUGCAAGUCACGGGGGCUCGCAAGAGCAACCGGCGAACGGGUGCGUAACACGUGAGCAACCUGCCGAUCUGAGGGGGAUAGCCGGCCCAACGGCCGGGUAAUACCGCAUACGGUUUUUGAGGGACAUCCCUUAGGAACGAAACCUCCGGGGCAGAUCGAGGGGCUCGCGGCCUAUCAGCUAGUUGGCGGGGUAACGGCCCACCAAGGCGACGACGGGUAGCUGGUCUGAGAGGAUGGCCAGCCACAUUGGGACUGAGAGACGGCCCAGACUCCUACGGGAGGCAGCAGUGGGGAAUCUUGCGCAAUGGCCGAAAGGCUGACGCAGCGACGCCGCGUGUGGGAUGAAGCAUUUCGGUGUGUAAACCACUGUUGCCCGGGACGAACAGCUCUUUUCGAGGAGCCUGACGGUACCGGGUGAGGAGCACCGGCUAACUCCGCGCCAGCAGCCGCGGUAA